UGAGGAAUAUUGGUCAAUGGGCGAGAGCCUGAACCAGCCAAGUCGCGUGAGGGAAGACGGCCCUACGGGUUGUAAACCUCUUUUGUCAGGGAGCAAGGACCGGCACGUGUGCCGGGGCGAGAGUACCUGAAGAAAAAGCAUCGGCUAACUCCGUGCCAGCAGCCGCGGUAAUACGGAGGAUGCGAGCGUUAUCCGGAUUUAUUGGGUUUAAAGGGUGCGUAGGCGGGGACUUAAGUCAGCGGUAAAAUUGUGAGGCUCAACCUCAUCGAGCCGUUGAAACUGAGUUUCUUGAGUGGGCGAGAAGUAUGCGGAAUGCGUGGUGUAGCGGUGAAAUGCAUAGAUAUCACGCAGAACUCCGAUUGCGAAGGCAGCAUACCGGCGCCCGACUGACGCUGAAGCACGAAAGCGUGGGUAUCGAACAGG
Molecule: ribosomal RNA, 423 nt
Filed under: uncultured bacterium
Lineage: Bacteria
Description: bacterial SSU rRNA
Rfam family: Bacterial small subunit ribosomal RNA
Source: RNAcentral